GCCCGCAUGGCUCAGUGGUAGAGCGCAUCACUAGUAAUGAUGAGGUCGUCAGUUUCGAUUCUGGCUGUGGGCA
Transfer RNA from Sordaria macrospora k-hell, 73 nucleotides. It matches the Rfam family "tRNA". Rfam says of the family: Transfer RNA (tRNA) molecules are approximately 80 nucleotides in length. NCBI's taxonomy places the organism in Eukaryota, Fungi, Ascomycota, Sordariomycetes, Sordariales, Sordariaceae. The record is from Rfam.